Molecule: ribosomal RNA, 924 nt
Filed under: uncultured bacterium
Lineage: Bacteria
Description: bacterial SSU rRNA
Rfam family: Bacterial small subunit ribosomal RNA
Source: RNAcentral
UGCAGUCGACGGCAGCACAGUGUAGCAAUACAUGGGUGGCGAGUGGCGCACGGGUGCGUAACACGUAUGCAAUUUGCCCAUAACUGGGGGAUAGCCCUCCGAAAGGAGGAUUAAUACCCCAUAACCCAGCGAGGUGGCAUCACCUUUCUGGUAAAUCUCCGGAGGUUAUGGAUGAGCAUGCGUCCGAUUAGCUAGUUGGUGAGGUAACGGCUCACCAAGGCAACGAUCGGUAGGGGGUCUGAGAGGAUGAUCCCCCACACGGGUACUGAGACACGGACCCGACUCCUACGGGAGGCAGCAGUAAGGAAUAUUGGACAAUGGAGGCAACUCUGAUCCAGCCAUGCCGCGUGAAGGAUGAAGGCCCUACGGGUUGUAAACUUCUUUUCUCUUAGAAAAAACUACUGGUUUCGUACCGGUACUGAUUGUACAAGAGGAAUAAGCAUCGGCUAACUUCGUGCCAGCAGCCGCGGUAAUAUGAAGGAUGCAAGCGUUAUCCGGAUUCACUGGGUUUAAAGGGUGUGCAGGUGGGGUAAUAAGUCAGUGGUGAAAGCCCCCGACUCAAUCGGGGAACUGCCAUAGAUACUGUUAUUCUUGAGUGUGGUUGAGGCGGAUGGAAUAUGACAUGUAGCGGUGAAAUGCUUAGAUAUGUCAUAGAACACCGAUCGCGAAGGCAGUCCGCCAAACCAUUACUGACACUGAAACACGAAAGUGCGGGGAUCAAACAGGAUUAGAUACCCUGGUAGUCCGCACCGUANACGAUGAUCACUCGUUGUUGGCGAUACACAGUCAGCGACUAAGCGAAAGCAUUAAGUGAUCCACCUGGGAAGUACGACCGCAAGGUUGAAACUCAAAGGAAUUGACGGGGGCCCGCACAAGCGGAGGAGCAUGUGGUUUAAUUCGAUGGUACGCGAGGAACCUACCUGG